UUUUGAUUUUUAUAUUAAAAAAUAUUAAAGCUUAAAACACUUGAGAGUAUCUCAUACUCUAGGAUAACAUAGAAAUUUUCUUUCUAGAAAGCGAGGAAUUGAACUCUAGUUCAAGUGUCAGGGUGAAUGUCCUCUUGCAUACGCAUGAUUCUUUUUGUUUUACUCAUCAAGUUAUAUUUUCAUUAAUGACAACAACUAUUGUGGAGCAAAAACUAGUUCAAUAAAUUCUAGAACUAACAUGUGAACUCUUAAAAAAAAAAAAAAAAAUAUGAGAAUGCACUUAUUAAAUUGGCAAGACUCACAUUUAAUCCACAUGUAGUUUAACAUCCUUGAAGUUUGAAGUCUUAAAGAUGGGAUUAAUUACAAAUUCUUAUCUUUAUGCUUUCCUAAUUGAAGGUCAACUUUGUUGAUGCACAAAACCAGAGGGGUCUUGGAACAACGUAAAUCCGACCAUGAAUCUACAAGAAAGUAAAUAACACAAGAUGUAUCGUGGUUCAUCCCAAGGUUUGGGCUACGUCCACACUGAUAUUGUAUUUCUGAGGGAGAGAGAGCUCUGAAUAUGAGAGUGAGAGCUUUGAGGGGAUGAGAGGGCUUAAGAAAUGGCUUCUGGGGGUGAGCAGGCUUCCCCUAAUUGUGAGGGUGAGAGGUCCUUUUAUAGAAUAAGGGCUCCUCACUUAUUACAUAUUUGCCCCUUCCUUUAUUACAUAAUUACAUUUAAGUCCCCCAAGAUUUAUACGAGAUCUAAAUACGGAGGCCCUAAGUAUGGUAUAAAUAGUAGUCCACCAAGUCUUCAGUCAAGAGAGUCUUUUGGCUGGUGACUUUAAAUUCAGUCCAUGUGUGGGCCGAACUAACUAGAUGUCAUCUUGAAUUGAUACUUGAUAUGAGGUGGUGCUCAAAGAGAAAUGAUGCUUAAGUAGCACAUGUUGCGAGGCUGCUCGGCUUGUGGCUUAUGUUGCCUUGGUUGGCUUGGCUUGUGGCGUUGAAGGUGAGGGAGUCACUUUUAUAGAAUAA
This 1011-nucleotide long non-coding RNA is filed under the name Malus domestica (apple). RNAcentral describes it as "long non-coding RNA (MDOM_LNC005503)". The record is from RNAcentral. Lineage: Eukaryota; Viridiplantae; Streptophyta; Magnoliopsida; Rosales; Rosaceae.